This is an RNA transcript of Selaginella moellendorffii, 2158 nucleotides long. It is a transcript of the gene named 7,8-dihydro-8-oxoguanine triphosphatase, with no coding region annotated. Lineage: Eukaryota; Viridiplantae; Streptophyta; Lycopodiopsida; Selaginellales; Selaginellaceae. The transcript has 11 exons. The record is from RefSeq and is a predicted model, not a curated record.
UAACAAAACAGGGGUGGCAGAGAACAAAAAAACACUCCAACACUACAGCAGUCAGUCAGUUUUGGGUUGGGUGGCACUUUAAAUCGCAACGAUAGUCUAGGCACACGACAAAGACGCAUUUACACAGAUACACAACUUCGUAGCGGGAGUUACUCGGGCAGUCAGUGAGUCAGUUGAAAGCUUCUUGGCGGCUGUCACGGAGGGAUUGGUUUCGGCCCCGUGGUGUUGGUUGGAGCCGCAUCUUUGAGCCGAGAUAAAAGACAUUGAUGACAACAACAGCCGAAUCACUAUAUAGUUCGAUAGGAGGAAAUGGCCGCCCAGCUCAAAGCUACCCCGAAGCAUCAGAUCGACCGACAGCAUUGCGAGAAUGUGAGACACCGGAGAUGGAGAAAGCUAUAGGUAGCUAGCUUAUUUGGCUACUUGGUUGGUGGAUGCUGGGAAACGUUCGAAAGUGAUAGACCUUUGGCUGUUACGACGACUGCGACCGUGAUAGUAUGUGUGACAGAGAGGCAAACACGAACUUUCGAUACGGGACCAGUAAGAUACCAGGGCAGCAGCCGGCUAAAUCUUUGUAGAUAUGAUGGCUCCUUGGAUACCCUCUGCUUGUCCGGCACCAAAGUCGAGGAGUUCGCCCUUGGUAGGGCGCAGUCCAUUCAGGCGAAAGCUCUUGUUUGCUAUGGCGAUGACCGCCAAGGCGAAAGUGAAGCUUCUGACUUUGGCCAUUGUUCACAAGGACGGACGAGUUCUUCUUGGUAUGAAGAAGCGCGGGUUCGGAGAAGGGUAUUUCAAUGGGUUUGGUGGGAAGGUAGAGGACGGGGAGACGAUUGAACAGGCGGCGGCAAGAGAGCUGGAGGAAGAAGCUGGAAUUACUCCCACGAAAAUGGACAAGCGUGGCAUUCUCACUUUCCAUUUCGACGACAAGCCAGUGCCAUGGGAGGUCCAUGUUUACCAUGUCGAGCAUUUUGUUGGCGAUCCUUGCGAAACAGAAGAAAUGUGCCCUCGUUGGUUCUUAACUCAAGAGAUCCCCUUCGACAAAAUGUGGAAGGACGAUCCCAUCUGGUACCCCCACUUUCUUCAAGGAUCAAUGUUUCGAGGCAGUUUUGUUUUCGAAAACACACACGAUCUGGUUUCACACAGCUUUGAGAUCGUCUCGGCUCUCUAGAAAGAAGCAAAUACAUAGCCAUCCUAGAGUAUUCCACCAUUCAGCGAGAUAGAUAUUUUAGCUACGUACACUUCUAGUAGCGCAACACAGCAAGGUAGCUCAAGUAUUUUAUUCAGUCUUAGUUGGAUACCUUACCAGGAGACAAAGACCAAGCUGUCCUUAGAUCAUUUCUUUUAUCAGGAGAAAGCCUCCAUGGUCAGCUUGUUGCUUUCAAGAAAUCUCAACUCUCGAGUUGAGUGCUUAAAGCAUUUUGUUUAAGUGCUGGAAAAUGUGUUGCAGCGAGUUCCAUCAUUCGAGACAAGCGCCUUUGCGUCUCGGACCGCAACAAUUGGCAAUGAAUGGAGAAGUACCUCCUCUCUCCUUGAAGGCGAGGAGGAUGAGAUCAAAGAAGAAUAUGACCAGUGAGCAGUCGAAAUCAAUCGGUUUGCAUUAAGGAGCAGAGCAAGCUGAAGUUUCCCAUGAAAUGUGGCGUUGCAGUAGCAGCAAGCAAACACAGAGGACAAAGCCAUAACAGAAGAGCAAACUUGACGUUUCAUCCCGUCUCGGCGGACGCGUUCGAUCCCCUCCUUUUUCUUUUGGCUUUCGUGCUCCAGAUGCUAAAGAGGAAUCCACCAGAGAUUUGGGAACAAAGAUGAAGCAGCAGCAGCAACAGGAACAGCAGCAGCAGCAGCAGCUUUUUCAUUUCUUGGCACAUAGGAGAGGUGCUGUUGGUGGAUUUGACGAUGGUGCGUGAGCCAUUUUUUUCCUCCUUUGCAUUCAUUCAUUAGCCUGCGCGCGAGGCCUGACUGUGAAACCAGCUGGAGCUCUGCAUUAUCUCUGCUGCUCCUCACGGGCCCUCCCCAUUUCCAGCUUUACAAAGCCCACCACCUUCGCCUUUUAUCAAGACUUCCCUUUUGGAAGCCUCUCAUCCACAAAGGUGGAAGCAAAGCAAAGGAGCAACCGCUUAUACAAAAGCUAUGAUGGAUCAUUGUAUUUUUAACAAAAAGCUUGGCCAAA